RNAcentral lists this ribosomal RNA (1047 nucleotides) under Lactiplantibacillus plantarum. RNAcentral describes it as "bacterial SSU rRNA". It matches the Rfam family "Bacterial small subunit ribosomal RNA", at positions 62 to 1087 of the family's 1533-position model. Lineage: Bacteria; Bacillati; Bacillota; Bacilli; Lactobacillales; Lactobacillaceae. The record is from RNAcentral.
UCUAACGUAGUUGGACGAUGGGAUGCAUAUGAUUACAUUGAGCAGUGGCGAACCGGUAGUACACGUGGGUACCCGCCCAGAAGCGGGGGAUACACCUGGAAACAGAUGCUAAUACCGCAUAACAACUUGGACCGCAUGGUCCGAGUUUGAAAGAAUGGCUUCGGCUAUCACUUUUGGAUGGUCCCGCGGCGUAUUAGCUAGAUGGUGGGGUAACGGCUCACCAUGGCAAUGAUACGUAGCCGAACCUGAGAGGGUAAUCGGCCACAUUGGGACUGAGACACGGCCCAAACUCCUACGGGAGGCAGCAGUAGGGAAUCUUCCACAAUGGACGAAAGUCUGAUGGAGCAACGCCGCGUGAGUGAAGAAGGGUUUCGGCUCGUAAAACUCUGUUGUUAAAGAAGAACAUAUCUGAGAGUAACUGUUCAGGUAUUGACGGUAUUUAACCAGAAAGCCACGGCUAACUACGUGCCAGCAGCCGCGGUAAUACGUAGGUGGCAAGCGUUGUCCGGAUUUAUUGGGCGUAAAGCGAGCGCAGGCGGUUUUUUAAGUCUGAUGUGAAAGCCUUCGGCUCAACCGAAGAAGUGCAUCGGAAACUGGGAAACUUGAGUGCAGAAGAGGACAGUGGAACUCCAUGUGUAGCGGUGAAAUGCGUAGAUAUAUGGAAGAACACCAGUGGCGAAGGCGGCUGUCUGGUCUGUAACUGACGCUGAGGCUCGAAAAGUAUGGGUAGCAAACAGGAUUAGAUACCCUGGUAGUCCAUACCGUAAACGAUGAAUGCUAAGUGUUGGAGGGUUUCCGCCCUUCAGUGCUGCAGCUAACGCAUUAAGCAUUCCGCCUGGGGAGUACGGCCGCAAGGCUGAAACUCAAAGGAAUUGACGGGGGCCCGCACAAGCGGUGGAGCAUGUGGUUUAAUUCGAAGCUACGCGAAGAANCUUACCAGGUCUUGACAUACUAUGCAAAUCUAGAGAUAGACGUUCCCUUCGGGACAUGGAUACAGGUGGUGCAUGGUUGUCGUCAGCUCGUGUCGUGAGAUGUUGGGUUAAGUCC